Molecule: long non-coding RNA, 1716 nt
Filed under: Jatropha curcas
Lineage: Eukaryota; Viridiplantae; Streptophyta; Magnoliopsida; Malpighiales; Euphorbiaceae
Description: long non-coding RNA (JCUR_LNC002207)
Source: RNAcentral
UAAAUUGUCCACUUUAGCUAAUGCAAUCACGUUGAAGAGGCUUAUAAGGAAGGGUAUACCUCCUGUGCUCAGGCCUAAAGUUUGGUUUUCUCUAUCUGGAGCUGCAAAAAAGAAAUCUACGGUUCCUGAGAGUUAUUACAAUGAUUUGACCAAGGCUGUUGAAGGGAAGGUUACACCAGCUACAAGACAGAUUGAUCAUGUGAGUGUAUUUGUAUUUCUUUUGGAUUACAUUGUUUUGGUGGUUUUGGUAAUUUUUUGAAUUCAUUGUUUUGUUUUGAUAAUUUAUAGUCUUAGAUGUGAUUUUGGUGCAUUUCCUUAUAUGGAUUACAGUCUGUAUACGUUUCUUUUUAUUCUGCUUCUAUGUAUGUGGUUGAAGAGCUAUACCAUAGAUUUGAUGGUUGUAAAGUUUGAUCGAUCAUAUUAAAGGUACAUCGGCUUAGUUUGAAUUGCAAUAAAGAUUAUUUUCUGAAAUUGGUGGUUUAUUCUGAUUGAGUUUGGUGGUUCUAGAUUAUUUGUUGCUUUAUUAGGGGUUAACAAUUGUUUAAAGACAUGGUGUUUGCUGUUGUGUAUAUUAAUAACAAUUUAUAUUUAUAGUAGAUGAAAUUAAAUGAAGAACUUUGCAUCUAUGUAAUUUGAUAUUGGUACUAGAGAUUUUACCUUGCUUUCUCUUUGCAUUGAGAUUUAGAGGUUAAUCAAAUUAAAGAAUUGUUUAUGAUUAAGCUGAUAUUUUUAGGAGGAUGAAAAUUUAUGGAGCAUUCACCGGUAUUGUUAACUGAGUACCUCUGCAAAUAAAAGAUCUGUCAUUAUCAUUUUCCUUUUUCAUUUCCAUUUUUCUAUAUAGGACUUAUUAGGUUGUUGUAUACACUCCUUUUUAUUGUCUUUUUCUCUUAUUCAAGGAAUUACUCUUCUGUCUGAGCUCAUUGAAUUGCAGAAAGGAAGAACCGUUUUGAGUGUCCCUUUUCGUCUUCUUUCUUCUAGUUAUGAAUGAGGAGAAUAAUUAAAGUAGCACUGGAGUAAAAGAAAGUGAAAAUUUGUUUACAAGAGAGGUUUCCAAAAAAUCUGUGACAAUGAAAACGUGAUAAAAAGUGUGAUUACACUGAUAAAGUGAAGUAUGCUAGUCUGAAAGCCUAGAACAUAGAGAGGCUUUCCUGUCCCUUGAACACCCUCUUUAUUUUUGCCGCCUCCUAGCUAACAAUAAAACAGAAUGAGGAACCUAUAUCAGUGCGUGUGCUUCUUAAAUUGCAUAGCUAUAUAAGGGUUCAAGUUUCAAUCUAUAUUUGCAGAGUUGAUGUUCUUAUAAUAUGGUUGAUUAUUAAUGUUUCUAUGGUUGUUAGUAGUUAUAUUUCAGAAGGAUGAAAAAUGUUACAAAAUGCUGGUUAGUAAGUAGGAUUAUAAUUGAGGAAGUGAAAUAAUGGGUUAGAUUUUGUAGAGUGGAUAAUUAAUCAUUGUUUUGUUUGUUGUGAUGUAUUUUAUCUUGUUUGCUUAUUAAAAAGAUUCUGUUUUCUUUCCAACUAAUUCCCUUCUAUAUGAAUAAUCUAAUUCCAGAUUAUGUUUUUCUUUACAAGUUAUGUUAACUCUUUCUAUGUAUAUGCGUGCAGGAUCUUCCACGAACCUUUCCUGGUCACCCCUGGUUGGACACACCGGAGGGUCAUGCAGCCCUCCGACGUGUCCUUGUUGGAUAUUCUUUCCGUGAUUCUGAUGUUGGCUACUGUCAGG